This 425-nucleotide ribosomal RNA is filed under the name uncultured bacterium. RNAcentral describes it as "partial 16S ribosomal RNA". It matches the Rfam family "Bacterial small subunit ribosomal RNA", at positions 354 to 796 of the family's 1533-position model. The record is from RNAcentral.
GUGGGGAAUCUUGUGCAAUGGGCGAAAGCCUGACGCAGCCAUGCCGCGUGAAUGAUGAAGGUCUUAGGAUUGUAAAAUUCUUUCACCGGGGACGAUAAUGACGGUACCCGGAGAAGAAGCUCCGGCUAACUUCGUGCCAGCAGCCGCGGUAAUACGAAGGGGGCUAGCGUUGCUCGGAAUUACUGGGCGUAAAGGGCGCGUAGGCGGACAGCUUAGUCAGAGGUGAAAGCCCAGGGCUCAACCUUGGAAUUGCCUUUGAUACUGGCUGUCUUGAGUUUGGGAGAGGUGAGUGGAACGCCGAGUGUAGAGGUGAAAUUCGUAGAUAUUCGGAAGAACACCAGUGGCGAAGGCGACUCACUGGCCCAAUACUGACGCUGAGGCGCGAAAGCGUGGGGAGCAAACAGGAUUAGAUACCCUGGUAGUCC